This 1031-nucleotide long non-coding RNA is filed under the name Salmo salar (Atlantic salmon). Its description in RNAcentral is "lncRNA (ENSSSAG00000089971.1)". The record is from RNAcentral. Lineage: Eukaryota; Metazoa; Chordata; Actinopteri; Salmoniformes; Salmonidae.
GUCAGCUACAUCAUCAUCCCUGCUCCUCCAUGAUAGGUCAGCUACAUCAUCACCCCUGCUCCUCCAUGAUAGGUCAGCUACAUCAUCACCCCUGCUCCUCCAUGAUAGGUCAGCUACAUCAUCACCCCUGCUCCUCCAUUAUAGGUCAGCUACAUCAUCUCUCCUGCUCCUCCCUGAUAGGUAAGCCACAUAAUUCUGCUCCUCCAUGAUAUGUCAGCUACAUCAUCACUCCUGCUCCUUCAUGAUAGGUCAGCUACAUCAUCACCCCUGCUCCUCCAUGAUAGGUCAGCUACAUCAUCACCCCUGCUACUCUAUGAUAGGUCAGCUACAUCAUCAACCCUGCUCCUCCAUGAUAGGUCAGCUACAUCAUCACCCCUGCUCCUCCAUGAAAGGUCAGCUACAUCAUCACCCCUGCUCCUCCAUGAUAGGUCAGCUACAUCAUCACCCCUGCUCCUCCAUGAUAGGUCAGCUACAUCAUCACCCUGGUCCUCCAUGAUAGGUCAGCUACAUCAUCACCCCUGCUCCUCCAUGAUAUGUCAGCUAAAUCAUCACCCCUGCUCCUCCAUGAUAGGUCAGCUACAUCAUUCUGCUCAUCCAUGAUAGGUCAGCUACAUCAUCACCCCUGCUCCUCCAUGAUAGGUCAGCUACAUCAUCCUGCUCCUCCAUGAUAGAUCAGCUACAUCAUCAUCCUGCUCCUCCAUGACAUGUCAGCUACAUCAUUAUCCUGCUCCUCCAUGAUAGGUCGGCUACAUCAUCAUCCUACUCCUCCAUGAUAGGUCAGCUACAUCAUCACCCCUGCUCCUCCAUGAUAGGUCAACUACAUCAUCAUCCUGCUCCUCCAUGAUAGGUCAAAUACAUCAUCAUCCUGCUCCUCCAUGAUAGAUCAGCUACAUCAUCCUGCUCCUUCAUGAUAGGUCAGCUACAUCAUCACCCCUGUAGCUCCAUGAUAGGCCAGCUAUAUCAUCAACCCUGCUCCUCCAUGAUAGGUCAGCUACAUCAACACCCCUGCUCCUCCAUGAUAGGUCAGCUAC